UUACGCCCAUAUCAGGUUGUAACACCAGUUCUCGUCCGAUCAUCUAAGUUAAGCAACGUUAAGCCUGGUCAGUACCAAGAUGGGUGACCGCUGGAGAAUACCAGUGUUGUAA
Molecule: non-coding RNA, 112 nt
Organism: Acanthosepion pharaonis
Lineage: Eukaryota; Metazoa; Mollusca; Cephalopoda; Sepiida; Sepiidae
Source: the annotation of a GenBank genome assembly